CCCGCUGAACUUAAGCAUAUCAAUAAGCGGAGGAAAAGAANCCNNCAGGGAUUNCCUCAGUAACGGCGAGUGAAGCGGUAACAGCUUAAAUUUGAANUCUGGCUCUUUCAGGGUNCGAGUUGUAAUUUGUAGAAGAUGCUUUGGGUGUAGCACCGGUCUAAGUUCCUUGGAACAGGACGUCAUAGAGGGUGAGAAUCCCGUAUAUGACUGGUGGCUUCCGCCCGUGUAAAGCUCUUUCGACGAGUCGAGUUGUUUGGGAAUGCAGCUCAAAAUGGGUGGUAAAUUUCAUCUAAAGCUAAAUACUGGCCAGAGACCGAUAGCGCACAAGUAGAGUGAUCGAAAGAUGAAAAGCACUUUGGAAAGAGAGUUAAACAGUACGUGAAAUUGUUGAAAGGGAAGCGCUUGCAACCAGACUUGCACGCUGCUGAUCAUCCGGGGUUCUCCCCGGUGCACUCGGUAGUGUUCAGGCCAGCAUCGUUUCUGGCGGGCGGAUAAAGGCCUUGGGAAUGUAGCUUCUUUCGGGGAGUGUUAUAGCCCUCGGUGCAAUGCGNCCUGCCGGGAACGAGGACCGCGCUUCGGCUAGGAUGCUGGCGUAAUGGUUGUAAGCGACC
Molecule: ribosomal RNA, 611 nt
Filed under: uncultured fungus
Lineage: Eukaryota; Fungi
Description: eukaryotic LSU rRNA
Rfam family: Eukaryotic large subunit ribosomal RNA
Source: RNAcentral